RNAcentral lists this ribosomal RNA (454 nucleotides) under uncultured bacterium. Its description in RNAcentral is "bacterial SSU rRNA". It matches the Rfam family "Bacterial small subunit ribosomal RNA", at positions 46 to 496 of the family's 1533-position model. The record is from RNAcentral.
GCCUAACACAUGCAAGUCGAACGGUAAGAUCUCGCUUGCGAGAUACACGAGUGGCGCACGGGUGAGUAACGCGUAUGCAACCUACCUUUAACAGAGGAAUAGCCCCGAGAAAUCGGGAUUAAUACCACAUAACAUUAUUUUAUGGCAUCAUAUGAAUAUUAAAGCUCCGGUGGUUAAAGAUGGGCAUGCGUGACAUUAGCUAGAUGGUGAGGUAACGGCUCACCAAGGCAACGAUGUCUAGGGGUUCUGAGAGGAUGAUCCCCCACACUGGUACUGAGACACGGACCAGACUCCUACGGGAGGCAGCAGUAAGGAAUAUUGCGCAAUGGAGGCAACUCUGACGCAGCCAUGCCGCGUGCAGGAUUGAAGGCCUUAUGGGUCGUAAACUGCUUUUAUUUAGGAAUAAACUUUCGUACGUGUACGAAAUUGAAGGUACUAAACGAAUAAGCACCGG